UACAAUCUGUCGAUAGGCCACACCAAUUUGAUCCCUUGUUCGACGGACCCGCCCGCACCUAUUUUUUUCAAAACAGAAUUUUUUUAUUUUUUUUAUAUUCCCGCUUCCCGCAUCCGGAAUUGUAAUCAUGUCCAUUUCCCGCACCGUUUUUUUUUUUGUAAAUAUUAUAAAAAGAUAUCAACAUUUGUUAAAUCACAGUCUAUUAACCUGUUUAUAACGAUUUUAAACAUAAAAGCACCCCACCACACUGUGUAAAUAUCUGUGAAAAUAUUUGUUUCAGCAUGAAACCUGGAGUGCUCCGAUAAAAAGUUACUAGAACACACCCGCGAAAUCGCGGGCAUUCAGAGCGUAGUUUAAAGUAUCAGUAUGUAAAGUGUUGUUGGAAGAAUUUUGUUAAAUACAGAAUGACUGGAGAAUUUCAGCAAAAGUAUCAUAAGUCAUAGGUUAUUGGGGACAGGAAAAAUUUUUUUUUUUACCCUCCACCUUUAUUUCCAAAGUUCCCAAUUUUUGGUUUUCUAUCAAUUUCAAUAUGAACAUACAUUUAGUAUGUUAUGAACAUUUAUUUAAGUAAGGAGCCUGUAAUUCAGUGGUUGUCGUUUGUUUAUGUGUUACAUAUUUGUUUUUCGUUCAUUUUUUGUACAUAAAUAAGGCCGCUAGUUUUCUCGUUUGCAUUGUUUUACAUUGUCAUUUCGGGACCUUUUGAAGCUGAGUAUGCGGUAUGGGCUUUGCUCUUUGUUGAAGGUCGUACGGUAACCUAUAAUUGUUAAUUUUUGUGUCAUUUUUGUCUCUUGUGGAGAGUUGUCUCAACAUGACAAUCAUACCACAUCUUCUUUUUUUUUUGUAAUCAAUGAAUUUUGUAAAAGAUUUAAUGACUGGAGAAUUUCAGAAAAAAGUAUCAUAAGUUCACAUGAAUAAUUUUAGCGCUUAUCUGUAUAUUAUGAACAUUCAUUACUAUAUAAAUAAAGCGUAUUUACUUUCAAUUCUAAGUUUACUAAUCGAUCCAUGGUGAUCAUUGAUAUAGUAUACAGACCCUCUCUAUUUAAUAAACUCUGUGACUGCCGUGGAUAGUAAACUUGAAAAUGAUAGCAGAUAAAAUUCUGAAAAUACACUUUAUUCGUAGUAUAUAUGUAUGUUCAAAGUAUACAGAAAAACGCAAACCGGAAGUCUAAUCUGACUUAAAAUUUCGUACAAUGACGGGACAAUACCCGGAUGCCUUUUUUCUCGUUUUUCUCCUAAAAUAACUCAAUCUGAAUAAUCAUAUGAAUGGAUGACAAAUGCGACUAUGCACUGUACCUAUAGGACACAGAGGCGUGUUGAUUAAUUUAUUGUGGAAAGAAGAGAAGCGACACCAAAAAUGAGGUCUUCUCGUUUAAUAGUAUAGAUAAC
This 1386-nucleotide long non-coding RNA is filed under the name Mytilus galloprovincialis (Mediterranean mussel). The record is from RNAcentral. Lineage: Eukaryota; Metazoa; Mollusca; Bivalvia; Mytilida; Mytilidae.